This 461-nucleotide long non-coding RNA is filed under the name Homo sapiens (human). RNAcentral describes it as "non-protein coding lnc-IL27-1:7". The record is from RNAcentral. Lineage: Eukaryota; Metazoa; Chordata; Mammalia; Primates; Hominidae.
CCUCCCGUGGGAGCCCCCUUUGGACACUCUAUGACCCUGGACCCUCGGGGGACCUGAACUUGAUGCGAUGGGAGGCUGUGCAGGCUCGCGGCGGCGCUUUUCGGAUUCCGAGGGUGGACCCAGGCCCAACGCCGAUCCCCCACAACAGCUCAUCACGAUUUGACUGCAACUCUGUCUCUACGGCUCCCCCGGGUUCUCGUCAGUGGGAUUUGUGCUGCUGGAAGCUUCGUCCUGGUUGCCUUUUCUCAUUCUGUGGGGACCAGCCUGUGUGCUAUUUCUUGUUGCUCACAUCUCCUGAGGCCCAGGACCCUGGAGGGGAAGAAGAAGCAGAGAGCGCAGCCCGGCAGCCCCUCAUAAGAACCGAGGCCCCGGAGUCGAAGCCAGGCUCCAGCUCCAGCCUCUCCCUUCGGGAAAGGUGGACAGUGUUCAAGGGUCUGCUGUGGUACAUUGUUCCCUUGGUC